This 449-nucleotide ribosomal RNA is filed under the name uncultured Methanosaeta sp. RNAcentral's name for it is "bacterial SSU rRNA". It matches the Rfam family "Archaeal small subunit ribosomal RNA", at positions 889 to 1338 of the family's 1478-position model. The record is from RNAcentral. Lineage: Archaea; Methanobacteriati; Methanobacteriota; Methanomicrobia; Methanotrichales; Methanotrichaceae.
UGGAGCUUGCGGUUUAAUUGGAUUCAACGCCGGAAAUCUUACCGGGACCGACAGCAAUAUGAAGGCCAGGCUGAAGACUUUGCCGGAUUAGCUGAGAGGUGGUGCAUGGCCGUCGUCAGUUCGUACUGUGAAGCAUCCUGUUAAGUCAGGCAACGAGCGAGACCCACGCCCACAGUUGCCAGCGUACUCUCUGGAGUGACGGGUACACUGUGGGACCGCCGCUGCUAAAGCGGAGGAAGGAAUGGGCAACGGUAGGUCAGUAUGCCCCGAAUAUCCCGGGCUACACGCGAGCUACAAUGGUUGGUACAAUGGGUAUCUACCCCGAAAGGGGACGGGAAUCUCCUAAAACCAAUCUUAGUUCGGAUUGAGGGCUGCAACUCGCCCUCAUGAAGCUGGAAUCCGUAGUAAUCGCGUUUCAACAGAACGCGGUGAAUACGUCCCUGCUCCUU